CCACGGUCCCUAACCGCGCCCCUUUCCUCCUCCCCCCGCUACCUGCCGUCUUCUGUAAUGUGAUGCUGCUGAGUGACAAACUGACAGCCGGGUGCCAUCGUCAUGAAGAGGCAGAAGCUCUCUGGGGCGCAGUACAAAAACAAAUACAAGAAGAGGAGGAGAAACGUGAACGAGACCGAGAUGCACUUCUGAAGUAUUUGUCCCCCACCUCUGCAAAUCCUGGGCCUACUAAUGUAACUGCAGCCACCUCAUCCACCUCAGCACCAAGUGAUGCAGCCUCAAGUGGAUUUCCCUCCCACACACAAACUGCCAGUGGAGAAAAGUGCAGCAAAUAUCUUGCGUAGGGUGCCAAAUUGGUCAGGCACGGCCCUGCUUCUAAAAUUUCAUAUAACCUAUGAAGGAUUUUUUUAAAAUUGACAUUUCUACUCUGAUGAAAUUAUGAAUGUGUUAUAAUGUAAUUUGAAGUGACUUAACCUUUAUAGAAACAGUUUGUCAGAAAGUGUGUAGUUAAAUCAUAUGAACCUUUGAAAGAUCAUAAAAAAAGACAGGUCAAAGAUGUUAAAGAUGUCAGCUAUUGGGGCACCAACAGUCAUGAAGGCAGACAUGAAGAGAAAUAAAGUUCUAUGAUGAUUAAAAAAGCUAAAAUAAUGAACGGCUUUGGAUCUAUGAAAAGACAGUGGUCUUAAAACUUGGCCACCAAACUCCAAGACAACUGAAACACUGAUUAUAAACAAGCUGCUCAUAAAGUGGCUCAUUAACACAGACACAAACAGAUAAGCCUCGACAAACACACACAUUCAUUUACUGCUGGUUUCACUGCUUCGAUCACUGAGAAUCAUUACAAGAUUGUGAUAAUAUUAUUGCUACUCUGAUUCAGUUCCUGCAGGUUGUAAUUCGAAUAAUACUUAUUCUACCUACAGUAUAUAAAUGUAUCCAUAAAUUAAAUUAAAUUAAAGUUAACUUUUACCUAAUUAAAGCACCUAUAAAUAAGUUAUGGAUGUGUGUGCGUCCUGAUGACCUUGUGAUGUUUUUAUUUGAUAUGAAUCUAUGGAGGAAAUCGUCUUGAAUGUGCAAGUGUAAGAGAUAGUGAGGUUGCUGAAUGGCGGAGGUGAUAAAUGUGUUAUCUCUUGGGUAAUCAGAAACAGAGAAGAAGAAGAAGAAGAAGAAGAAGCAGUUCAGCGCAGUUCUCAGAAGACACUGUUACACAUCUUUGUCAUAUUUUGGUGUGUUAAAUAUUUUGAGUUUUGUCUCAAAGAGGAGGCUGAGAUGACUUUGGACCAUGACAGCGUGCCUGAUGCUUCAUCCAGGAAGGACAGACUCUUCAGACUGGUUGCUCUGAGCUUUGGACUCCUGUGUAUCCUACAAGCUGCUGCCAACAUUUCCCUGCUUCUUGCUCUCUAUGCAAAAAUGCUAGAUUAUGAGGCCAUUAUCAAAAAUCUGACUGAAGAGGGAGAAGAUUUGAAGAGGAAGAUGAUCACCUUUGGAAUUUGCAAGAAAGUUCAAAGGGCUCAGGUGGAUUGGACUGACUGACAGUGAGACAGAGGGGACAUGGACAUGGGUGGAUGGGACUGCACUGAACACAAGCUACUGGAACGCUGGGGAGCCCAACAGCUAUCAAGGCAUUGAUGAAGACUGUGGAGAAAUAAGGCUUUAUGACAGGGAAUACAACUGGAAUGAUUCACCAUGUAAAUAGCUAAACUUCUGGAUCUGUGAGUAGGU
Non-coding RNA from Epinephelus lanceolatus (giant grouper), 1719 nucleotides. The record is from RefSeq and is a predicted model, not a curated record. Lineage: Eukaryota; Metazoa; Chordata; Actinopteri; Perciformes; Serranidae.